This 301-nucleotide ribosomal RNA is filed under the name uncultured bacterium. RNAcentral's name for it is "partial 16S ribosomal RNA". It matches the Rfam family "Bacterial small subunit ribosomal RNA", at positions 509 to 807 of the family's 1533-position model. The record is from RNAcentral.
CAGUCGCCGCGGUAAUACGAAGGGUGCAAGCGUUAAUCGGAAUUACUGGGCGUAAAGCGUGCGUAGGCGGUGAGUUAAGUCUGCUGUGAAAUUCCCGGGCUCAACCUGGGAAUGGCAGUGGAUACUGGCUCGCUAGAGUGUGUCAGAGGAUGGUGGAAUUCCCGGUGUAGCGGUGAAAUGCGUAGAGAUCGGGAGGAACAUCAGUGGCGAAGGCGGCCAUCUGGGACAACACUGACGCUGAGGCACGGAAGCGUGGGGAGCAAACAGGAUUAGAUACCCCCGUAGUCCCUGUCUCUUAUAC